RNAcentral lists this ribosomal RNA (468 nucleotides) under uncultured bacterium. RNAcentral's name for it is "partial 16S ribosomal RNA". It matches the Rfam family "Bacterial small subunit ribosomal RNA", at positions 28 to 507 of the family's 1533-position model. The record is from RNAcentral.
GACGAACGCUGGCGGCGUGCUUAACACAUGCAAGUCGAACGGAAAGGCCCUGCUUUUGUGGGGUGCUCGAGUGGCGAACGGGUGAGUAAAACGUGAGUAACCUGCCCUUGACUUUGGGAUAACUUCAGGAAACUGGGGCUAAUACCGGAUAGGAGCUCCUGCUGCAUGGUGGGGGUUGGAAAGUUUCGGCGGUUGGGGAUGGACUCGCGGCUUAUCAGCUUGUUGGUGGGGUAGUGGCUUACCAAGGCUUUGACGGGUAGCCGGCCUGAGAGGGUGACCGGCCACAUUGGGACUGCGAUACGGCCCAGACUCCUACGGGAGGCAGCAGUGGAGAAUAUUGCACAAUGGGCGGAAGCCUGAUGCAGCAACGCCGCGUGCGGGAUGACGGCCUUCGGGUUGUAAACCGCUUUCUCCUGUGACGAAGCGUGAGUGACGGUAAUGGGUAAAGAAGCACCGGCUAACUACGUG